Cynara cardunculus var. scolymus (artichoke) is the source of this 666-nucleotide long non-coding RNA. RefSeq lists it as uncharacterized. NCBI's taxonomy places the organism in Eukaryota, Viridiplantae, Streptophyta, Magnoliopsida, Asterales, Asteraceae. The transcript has 3 exons. The record is from RefSeq and is a predicted model, not a curated record.
GUCUUAGAAGCUUUUGGUAAUGCGAAAACUGUGAGAAAUAAUAACUCAAGGUGAGGUGAACUUCCAUUUGCAAUUCCCUGGACAGUCUUGCAUCUGUUCUACAUUAAUCAUUUUCAGUAAUGCUUAUCUAUUGCCACCAUUUCAGUUGCUUUGGCAAGUUUGUGAAGAUUCAGUUUGAUCAGAAGGGAAGGAUUUCAGGGGCUGCUAUAAGAACGUACUUAUUGGAAAGAUCUUGUGUUUGUUAACUAUCACAUCUCGAAAGAAAUUAUCAUUGCUUCUACAUGCUUUCUGCUGCACCACCAGAGAAUUCUGGUCUGCAACCACUUUUUCAAAUUGGGAGAGAUUGCUUUCACAUGAAUUCAGGUUUGCAACCACUGUUUCACCAUACGGCAUGUUCGUUCUUUCAGCCUUCAAAUCUAAGGUGUAAAAAAUACAAGGUUCAAAGCAUUAACAUGAUGAUGCAUCAAGAAGCCUUAGGUCAUCGCAUUUGGAAAUGAAACCUCAACUAGAGAAGAAGAUGAAAGGAUCGUCUUUCGAAAUAGCAGAUCAAAGUAGCAAUUCUUCUACCGUUGAAGGAAUUGUGCCCUAUCGGAAAUGGCGUAUCAAAGUAGCAAACCAAUAAUUUUAUUUGUUUUUCAUUGAUCAACUUCAAUUUGGAACCAUAAC